RNAcentral lists this ribosomal RNA (120 nucleotides) under Bison bison bison. The record is from RNAcentral. Lineage: Eukaryota; Metazoa; Chordata; Mammalia; Artiodactyla; Bovidae.
GUCUCAGGCCGUAUCAGCCUGAAGGCGCCCGAUCUCGUCGGAUCUCAGAAGCUAAGCAGGGUCGGGCCUGGUUAGUAUCUUGGAUGGGAGACCACCUGGGAAUCCCGGGUGCUCGAGGCU